GACGAACGCUGGCGGCGUGCUUAACACAUGCAAGUCGAACGGAAAGGCCCUGCUUUGGUGGGGUGCUCGAGUGGCGAACGGGUGAGUAACACGUGAGUAACCUGCCCUUGACUUUGGGAUAACUUCAGGAAACUGGGGCUAAUACCGGAUAGGAGCUCCUGCUGCAUGGUGGGGGUUGGAAAGUUUCGGCGGUUGGGGAUGGACUCGCGGCUUAUCAGCUUGUUGGUGGGGUAGUGGCUUACCAAGGCUUUGACGGGUAGCCGGCCUGAGAGGGUGACCGGCCACAUUGGGACUGAGAUACGGCCCAGACUCCUACGGGAGGCAGCAGUGGGGAAUAUUGCACAAUGGGCGGAAGCCUGAUGCAGCAACGCCGCGUGCGGGAUGACGGCCUUCGGGUUGUAACCCGAUUUCGCCUGUGACGAAGCGUGAGUGACGGUAAUGGGUAAAGAAGCACCGGCUAACUACGUG
RNAcentral lists this ribosomal RNA (468 nucleotides) under uncultured bacterium. RNAcentral describes it as "partial 16S ribosomal RNA". It matches the Rfam family "Bacterial small subunit ribosomal RNA", at positions 28 to 507 of the family's 1533-position model. The record is from RNAcentral.